Tympanuchus pallidicinctus (lesser prairie-chicken) is the source of this 502-nucleotide long non-coding RNA. RefSeq lists it as uncharacterized. The transcript is spliced from 3 exons. The record is from RefSeq and is a predicted model, not a curated record. Lineage: Eukaryota; Metazoa; Chordata; Aves; Galliformes; Phasianidae.
CCAAUGUGUCCCUAUGGGUCUCAAUGUGUCUCUAUGGGUCCCAAUGUGUCUCUAUGGGUCCCAACGUGUCUCUAUAGGUCUCAAUGUGUCUCUGUGGGUCCCAAUGUGUCUCUAUGGGUCCCAACGUGUCUCUAUAGGUCUCAAUGUGUCUCUAUGGGUCCCAACGUGUCUCUGUGGGUCCCAACGUGUCUCCAUGGGUUGGCUGCGAGUGUGGAGCUGCCUGGGGGCUGCAAGGCCCUGCAGGGGGAUCUGGGCCGGCUAUGGAAUGCUGGGCUGAAGGCAGUGGGAUGAGUUACAACAAGGCCAUAGGUCGGGUCCUGCGCUUUGGCCACCACAAACCCAGGUCGGCAUCCAGGCAGGUCUGGAAACAUCUCCAGAGCAGGAGACUCCACCACCUCCAUGGGCAGCCGGGGAGCAUCAGUGGGGCAUCAGUGGGGCAUCAGUGGGGCAUCAGUGGGGCAUCAGUGGGGCAUGGAGGACCUUGAGUACCUUGAGUGUAGAG